UUGACCUCAAAUCAGGUAGGACUACCCGCUGAACUUAAGCAUAUCAAUAAGCGGAGGAAAAGAAACUAACAAGGAUUCCCCUAGUAACUGCGAGUGAAGCGGGAUGAGCUCAAAUUUUGAAUCUGGCGGUCUUUGGCCGUCCGAGUGUAAUCUAGAGAAGCGU
RNAcentral lists this ribosomal RNA (163 nucleotides) under Xerocomellus chrysenteron. Its description in RNAcentral is "partial 28S ribosomal RNA". It matches the Rfam family "Eukaryotic large subunit ribosomal RNA", at positions 1 to 161 of the family's 3401-position model. Lineage: Eukaryota; Fungi; Basidiomycota; Agaricomycetes; Boletales; Boletaceae. The record is from RNAcentral.